UACGAAGGUGGCAAGCGUUGUUCGGAUUUACUGGGCGUAAAGGGAGCGUAGGUGGUUAGGUAAGCCCUCUGGGAAAUCUUCAGGCUUAACCUGAAAAGGUCGGGGGGGACUGCCUGGCUAGAGGACGGGAGAGGAGCGCGGAAUUCCCGGUGUAGCGGUGAAAUGCGUAGAGAUCGGGAGGAAGGCCGGUGGCGAAGGCGGCGCUCUGGAACGUUUCUGACACUGAGGCUCGAAAGCGUGGGGAGCAAACAGG
This 253-nucleotide ribosomal RNA is filed under the name uncultured bacterium. RNAcentral's name for it is "partial 16S ribosomal RNA". It matches the Rfam family "Bacterial small subunit ribosomal RNA", at positions 524 to 776 of the family's 1533-position model. The record is from RNAcentral.